RNAcentral lists this ribosomal RNA (255 nucleotides) under uncultured bacterium. Its description in RNAcentral is "partial 16S ribosomal RNA". It matches the Rfam family "Bacterial small subunit ribosomal RNA", at positions 524 to 776 of the family's 1533-position model. The record is from RNAcentral.
UACGAAGGGGGCUAGCGUUGCUCGGAAUCACUGGGCGUAAAGCGCACGUAGGCGGACUCUUAAGUCGGUGGUGAAAUCCUGGAGCUCAACUCCAGAACUGCCUUCGAUACUGAGAGUCUCGAGUCCGGGAGAGGUGAGUGGAACUGCGGAGUGUAAGAGGUGAAAUUCGUAGAUAUUCGCAAGAACACCAGUGGCGAAGGCGGCUCACUGGCCCGGUACUGACGCUGAGGUGCGAAAGCGUGGGGAGCAAACAGG